RNAcentral lists this ribosomal RNA (239 nucleotides) under uncultured bacterium. RNAcentral's name for it is "partial 16S ribosomal RNA". It matches the Rfam family "Bacterial small subunit ribosomal RNA", at positions 538 to 776 of the family's 1533-position model. The record is from RNAcentral.
GCGUUGUCCGGAUUUAUUGGGUUUAAAGGGUGCGUAGGCUGGGAGGUAAGUCAGCGGUGAAAAGCACACGCUUAACGGGUGUCUUGCCGCAGAUACUGCAGGGCUUGAGUAGAGUCGAGGUAGGCGGAAUUGACGGUGUAGCGGUGAAAUGCUUAGAUAUCGUCAAGAACACCGAUAGUGUAGACAGCUUACUAGACUCAAACUGACGCUGAGGCACGAAAGUGUGGGGAUCAAACAGG